Etheostoma spectabile (orangethroat darter) is the source of this 542-nucleotide non-coding RNA. Lineage: Eukaryota; Metazoa; Chordata; Actinopteri; Perciformes; Percidae. The record is from the annotation of a RefSeq genome assembly.
UGAUGUGCUGUAUUUGUCGAGAGUUCCUCAACAGAUGAUGAAGAGGAAGGAGCAAUGAUGUGAAGGCCCAGAUCCAUCAGAGUAUCAAUGCUCUUCCUCUCUCCCCCCCUCUCACUGCAGACAUGAAACACUGGCUGACUAACAUCCUGAUUCUGACUCUCUGGCUAGAGUGUAAAGGAGAAGACAGAGUGAUCCAGCCACCAGGAGAUGUCAUUACUACUGAAGGAGAGACACUUACUCUUGGCUGUACAUUUGAGACCAGUGUUAGCUCUAAUGCAUAUUUGUUCUGGUAUAAACAAGAAGUCAAUGACUUCCCAAUAUUUAUAUUGAGACAUGAUACCUUUGGAACAGAAGAUAAUGCUCCAGAGUUCCAGAAAGACAGAUUUGAUGCUACAAUCAACAAGACAUCAGUUCCUCUGGAGAUCCAGAAGCUUCAGCUGUCAGACUCUGCUGUGUACUACUGUGCUCUGAGGCCCACAGUGACAGGAAACACCAAAACUCUGUACAAAAACCUUUGGAGUAUGUUAGAUUAUGAAGGAUGA